UACGUAGGGGGCAAGCGUUGUCCGGAAUCAUUGGGCGUAAAGAGCUCGUAGGCGGUGCGUCACGUCGGCCGUGAAAACCUGCAGCUUAACUGUGGGCGUGCGGUCGAUACGGGCAUCACUGGAGUUCGGCAGGGGAGACUGGAAUUCCUGGUGUAGCGGUGAAAUGCGCAGAUAUCAGGAGGAACACCGGUGGCGAAGGCGGCUUCCUGGACCGGAACUGACGCUGAGGCGCGAAAGCCAGGGGAGCAAACGGG
Molecule: ribosomal RNA, 254 nt
Filed under: uncultured bacterium
Lineage: Bacteria
Description: partial 16S ribosomal RNA
Rfam family: Bacterial small subunit ribosomal RNA
Source: RNAcentral